This 784-nucleotide small RNA is filed under the name Pongo abelii (Sumatran orangutan). RNAcentral's name for it is "processed transcript". The record is from RNAcentral. Lineage: Eukaryota; Metazoa; Chordata; Mammalia; Primates; Hominidae.
UAGAGACAGAGUUUCACUAUGUUGCCCAGGCUGGUCUGGAACUCCUGGGCUCAAGCAAUCCCCUCACUUCAGCCUGCCAAAGUGCUGGGAUUACAGGCGUGAGCCACUACAUCCGGCCACAUCUUUCAUUGUUAGAAUCAUCUAUGAUGUGUCUGCAUUUUUAAGAUCACACUGUAUUUUAAAACCUAGUUUGCACAUUUGUGAUUCUAGAGAGAGACGACGACGAAGAAGCAGGAGUGGAACAAGAUCUCCUAAAAAGCCUCGGUCUCCUAAAAGAAAAUUGUCUCGCUCACCAUCCCCUAGGAGACAUAAAAAGGAGAAGAAGAAAGAUAAAGACAAAGAAAGAAGUAGGGAUGAAAGAGAACGAUCAACAAGCAAGAAGAAGAAGAGUAAAGAUAAGGAAAAGGACCGGGAAAGAAAAUCAGAGAGUGACAAAGAUGUAAAACAGGUUACACGGGAUUAUGAUGAAGAGGAACAGGGAUAUGACAGUGAGAAAGAGAAAAAAGAAGAGAAGAAACCAAUAGAAACAGGUUCCCCUAAAACAAAGGAAUGCUCUGUGGAAAAGGGAACUGGUGAUUCACUAAGAGAAUCCAAAGUGAAUGGGGAUGAUCAUCAUGAAGAAGACAUGGAUAUGAGUGACUGAAUAUUGCCUCUGAGGGAAUCCAACUGUAUACCUGCAUCAGUGUCAUUCCUUUGUGUGAUUUCUUAAUGCUGUAUUUGUUCAUCUCAAACCUAGAUGUAUACAGCUCUGAGUUAUAAAUGGUUAUAAAGCUCCUGUUACUGA